UGUCUGGUACAAGGAACAAGGGUCUGAUCUCGAGCUCCAUCUGCCUCAUCUGACUCUGGUCCUCCAGGACAGCCUACAGGGACACAGAACGCAGCAGGAGUCCAUACGGUGUGAUGGAUUUGGACCCAACUCACAUGCUCACAGAGAGCAACACCCAGGCUGAUGAGAUCAGCCGCCCCCGGCCCAGCAGCAUUGUUUCCUCAACAUCAGUCCUGUGUUCUACCUGUGCUCCUUUGCCGCUGCUCUGCACAACCUGUAUGAUUAUUUACUUGGUGUUUUCUCAUGAAACUGACUUUAAGGCAACUA
Molecule: long non-coding RNA, 306 nt
Organism: Leopardus geoffroyi (Geoffroy's cat)
Lineage: Eukaryota; Metazoa; Chordata; Mammalia; Carnivora; Felidae
Exons: 2
Source: RefSeq, a predicted model, not a curated record